CCCCAGUUUCACUUAUGUCAGACAGAAUGUCCGGUGGCUUCCUCACUACGUAGGACAAUUUCACGAAUGGGUCGGACCAAUGUGUUCAUUUUUCAGGUAGUUUCAUCCCUACCAACGAAAGCUUCUUCAGACUAUUUUAUGACCUUUUACUCAUCAAGAGCAAAUGUUGUUGUGAAUAAUAGAUUAAACAUUUCAUAUCCUAAAUCUUGUGUGUAUUUCAAAUAUUCCAAAUACCCAAAUAUUCGGCACGUUUUACCUUGUUU
Non-coding RNA from Paramuricea clavata, 263 nucleotides. NCBI's taxonomy places the organism in Eukaryota, Metazoa, Cnidaria, Anthozoa, Malacalcyonacea, Plexauridae. The record is from the annotation of a GenBank genome assembly.